UACGUAGGCAGCAAGCGUUGUUCGGAGUUACUGGGCGUAAAGGGUGCGUAGGCGGUUGUUUAAGUUUGGUGUGAAAUCUCCCGGCUCAACUGGGAGGGUGCGCCGAAUACUGAAUGACUCGAGUGCGGGAGAGGAGAGUGGAAUUCCUGGUGUAGCGGUGAAAUGCGUAGAUAUCAGGAGGGACACCGGUGGUGUAGACGGCUCUCUGGACCGUAACUGACGCUGAGGCACGAAAGCGUGGGUAGCAAACAGG
This 253-nucleotide ribosomal RNA is filed under the name uncultured bacterium. RNAcentral's name for it is "partial 16S ribosomal RNA". It matches the Rfam family "Bacterial small subunit ribosomal RNA", at positions 524 to 776 of the family's 1533-position model. The record is from RNAcentral.